GAUGAACGCUGGCGGCGUGCCUAAUACAUGCAAGUCGAGCGAACAGACGAGGAGCUUGCUCCUCUGACGUUAGCGGCGGACGGGUGAGUAACACGUGGAUAACCUACCUAUAAGACUGGGAUAACUUCGGGAAACCGGAGCUAAUACCGGAUAAUAUAUUGAACCGCAUGGUUCAAUAGUGAAAGACGGUUUUGCUGUCACUUAUAGAUGGAUCCGCGCCGCAUUAGCUAGUUGGUAAGGUAACGGCUUACCAAGGCAACGAUGCGUAGCCGACCUGAGAGGGUGAUCGGCCACACUGGAACUGAGACACGGUCCAGACUCCUACGAGAGGCAGCAGUAGGGAAUCUUCCGCAAUGGGCGAAAGCCUGGCGGAGCAACGCCGCGUGAGUGAUGAAGGUCUUCGGAUCGUAAAACUCUGUUAUUAGGGAAGAACAAAUGUGUAAGUAACUAUGCACGUCUUGACGGUACCUAAUCAGAAAGCCACGGCUAACUACGUG
Molecule: ribosomal RNA, 497 nt
Filed under: uncultured bacterium
Lineage: Bacteria
Description: partial 16S ribosomal RNA
Rfam family: Bacterial small subunit ribosomal RNA
Source: RNAcentral